RNAcentral lists this ribosomal RNA (914 nucleotides) under uncultured archaeon. RNAcentral describes it as "bacterial SSU rRNA". It matches the Rfam family "Archaeal small subunit ribosomal RNA", at positions 1 to 922 of the family's 1478-position model. The record is from RNAcentral.
UUCCGGUUGAUCCUGCCGGAGGUCACUGCUAUUGGGAUUCGACUAAGCCAUGCGAGUCGAGAGGGUUCGGCCCUCGGCUGACGGCUCAGUAACACGUGGAUAAUCUGCCCUUAGGUGGAGGAUACUCUCGGGAAACUGAGAAUAAUACUCCAUAGGCCUAGGAUGCUGGAAUGCAUCUAGGCUCAAAGUUCCGGCGCCUAAGGAUGAGUCUGCGGACUAUCAGGUUGUAGUCAGGGUAAUGACCUGACUAGCCUACGACGGAUACGGGUUGUGAGAGCAAUAACCCGGAGAUGAUAUCUGAGACACGAUAUCAGGCCCUACGGGGCGCAGCAGGCGCGAAAACUUCACAAUGUGCGAAAGCACGAUGAGGGAAUCCCAAGUGCUUGCUCGUAAGAGUAAACUGUUUCUAUGUUUAAAACGCAUGGAGAGUAAGAGCUGGGUAAGACGGGUGCCAGCCGCCGCGGUAAUACCUGCAGCUCGAGUGGUGGCCGCUAUUAUUGGGCCUAAAACGUCCGUAGCCGGUUUAAUAAAUGCCCGGGUAAAUCGUGUAGCUUAACUAUACGAAUUCCGGGUAGACUGCUAAACUUGAGACCGGGAGAAGCUAGAGGUACUCCUGGGGUAGAGGUGAAAUUCUGUAAUCCUAGGGGGACCACCAGUGGCGAAGGCGUCUGGCUAGAACGGGUCUGACGGUGAGGGACGAAGCCCUGGGGCGCAAACCGGAUUAGAUACCCGGGUAGUCCCAGCUGUAAACGAUGCGGGCUAGGUGUUGAGGUGGCUACGAGCCACUUCAGUGCCGCAGGAAGCCAUUAAGCCCGCCGCCUGGGGAGUACGGCCGCAAGGCUGAAACUUAAAGGAAUUGGCGGGGAGCACCCACAAGGCGUGAAGCUUGCGGUUCAAUUGGAGUCAACGCCGGA